UUCACCAUGGAUAGCUAAGACGACAAGAAGCAAAACUACAGAUAGGAAGGACCAUAGAUACUGUAAUGUUAGGAGAACCUCAACCACAGGGAGAGGAAGUGGGGAUAAGCAUUAAAAGUGUUUUGCUUCAGAUUCUAGGCCGUCUCCCCACAGGCAGAACAGUAUCACAACUAACAGCACUGGUGAAUGUUAAUCCAGCUCCUGACAAGCCUGCUGUAGCAUAAGGUCUAAAACUCUCAAAACAAAUACCAUACUCUACUCGGCAUUAAAUAUCAGACACUCCAGAAAUUCUCCUUGCUCCUUUGAUAAAGUAAGUAGCCAUCUUGGAAAACCCUCCUAGAAAGGACCUGUGGGAACUACGGAUAGCCCCAAGGAAAUGAAGACGGCCGCUAGCUGACAGCCAUCAAGAAACUAGGCCUUCAGUCCCACAACCUCAAGAAGAUGAAUUCUACCAGCAAUUCCAAGUGAGCUUGGAAGUGUUUUCUUCCCUUUGUUAUGCCUCUGGAUGAAAAGGCAGCCUGCCUGAUAUUUCAUUAUAGCCUUGUGAGAUCCUGAGGAGGGGACCAAGGAUGCACGCCUUCAUGAAAUCCUGGCUCAGCUCUCAAGCUUGCAUCCCCUCAACAAGAACAAGGACCAAGCCGUUGUUUGCAGGGCUCUGGGUUCAGUCCGAAGACACUUCUGCUAUUACUAAUUUAAGUAUAAUUCACUAUCUAAUAA
Molecule: long non-coding RNA, 717 nt
Organism: Suricata suricatta (meerkat)
Lineage: Eukaryota; Metazoa; Chordata; Mammalia; Carnivora; Herpestidae
Exons: 4
Source: RefSeq, a predicted model, not a curated record